CAUGAACUUAGCUUGCUAAGUUUGAUGGCGACCGGCGCACGGGUGAGUAACACGUAUCCAACCUGCCGAUAACUCGGGGAUAGCCUUUCGAAAGAAAGAUUAAUACCUGAUGGUAUGAUGAGAUUGCAUGAUAGCAUCAUUAAAGAUUUAUCGGUGUACGAUGGGGAUGCGUUCCAUUAGGUAGUAGGCGGGGUAACGGCCCACCAAGACUACGAUGGAUAGGGGUUCUGAGAGGAAGGUCCCCACAUUGGAACUGAGACACGGUCCAAACUCC
RNAcentral lists this ribosomal RNA (274 nucleotides) under uncultured Bacteroides sp. RNAcentral's name for it is "partial 16S ribosomal RNA". It matches the Rfam family "Bacterial small subunit ribosomal RNA", at positions 70 to 339 of the family's 1533-position model. Lineage: Bacteria; Pseudomonadati; Bacteroidota; Bacteroidia; Bacteroidales; Bacteroidaceae. The record is from RNAcentral.